This 429-nucleotide ribosomal RNA is filed under the name uncultured bacterium. Its description in RNAcentral is "bacterial SSU rRNA". It matches the Rfam family "Bacterial small subunit ribosomal RNA", at positions 369 to 793 of the family's 1533-position model. The record is from RNAcentral.
CAAUGGGCGCAAGCCUGAUGGAGCAACACCGCGUGAGUGAAGAAGGGUUUCGGCUCGUAAAGCUCUGUUGUUAAAGAAGAACACGUAUGAGAGUAACUGUUCAUACGUUGACGGUAUUUAACCAGAAAGUCACGGCUAACUACGUGCCAGCAGCCGCGGUAAUACGUAGGUGGCAAGCGUUAUCCGGAUUAUUGGGCGUAAGAGAGUGCAGGCGGUUUCUAAGUCUGAUGUGAAAGCCUUCGGCUUAACCGGAGAAGUGCAUCGGAAACUGGAUAACUUGAGUGCAGAAGAGGGUAGUGGAACUCCAUGUGUAGCGGUGGAAUGCGUAGAUAUAUGGAAGAACACCAGUGGCGAAGGCGGCUACCUGGUCUGCAACUGACGCUGAGACUCGAAAGCAUGGGUAGCGAACAGGAUUAGAUACCCUGGUAG